Molecule: ribosomal RNA, 497 nt
Filed under: uncultured bacterium
Lineage: Bacteria
Description: partial 16S ribosomal RNA
Rfam family: Bacterial small subunit ribosomal RNA
Source: RNAcentral
GACGAACGCUGGCGGCGUGCCAAAUACAUGCAAGUUGAGCGCUGAAGGUUGGUACUUGUACCAACUGGAUGAGCAGCGAACGGGUGAGUAACGCGUGGGGAAUCUGCCUUUGAGCGGGGGACAACAUUUGGAAACGAAUGCUAAUACCGCAUAAAAACUUUAAACACAAGUUUUAAGUUUGAAAGAUGCAAUUGCAUCACUCAAAGAUGAUCCCGCGUUGUAUUAGCUAGUUGGUGAGGUAAAGGCUCACCAAGGCGAUGAUACAUAGCCGACCUGAGAGGGUGAUCGGCCACAUUGGGACUGAGACACGGCCCAAACUCCUACGGGAGGCAGCAGUAGGGAAUCUUCGGCAAUGGACGAAAGUCUGACCGAGCAACGCCGCGUGAGUGAAGAAGGGUUUCGGAUCGUAAAACUCUGUUGGUAGAGAAGAACGUUGGUGAGAGUGGAAAGCUCAUCAAGUGACGGUAACUACCCAGAAAGGGACGGCUAACUACGUG